This 497-nucleotide ribosomal RNA is filed under the name uncultured bacterium. RNAcentral describes it as "partial 16S ribosomal RNA". It matches the Rfam family "Bacterial small subunit ribosomal RNA", at positions 28 to 507 of the family's 1533-position model. The record is from RNAcentral.
GAUGAACGCUGGCGGCGUGCCUAAUACAUGCAAGUCGAGCGAACAGAUGAGGAGCUUUCUCUUCUUCCGUUAUCGUCGGACGGGUGAGUAACACGUGUAUAACCUCCCUCUAAGACUGGGAUACCUUCGGUAAACCGGAGCUCUUACCGGACAAUAUAUUUAAUCUCAUGGUUCAAUAUUGAAAGACGGUUUUGUUUUCACUUAUAGAUUGACUCGCGCCGCAUUUUCUGGUUGGUUAGGUAACGGCUUACCAAGGCAACGAUGCGUAGCCGACCUGAGAGGGUGAUCGGCCACACGGGAACUGAGAAACGGUCAAGACUCCUAGGGGAGGAAGCAGGAGGGAAUCUUCCGAAAUGGGCGAAAGCCGGACGGAGAAACGCGGGGUAAGGGAGGAGGGUCUUCGGAUCGUAAAACUCGGUAAUUAGGGAAGAAGGAAUGUGUAAGUAAAGAGGCAAGUAUUGACGGUACCGAAACAGAAAGCCACGGCUAACUACGUG